RNAcentral lists this ribosomal RNA (43 nucleotides) under Syzygiella perfoliata. RNAcentral describes it as "partial 28S ribosomal RNA". The record is from RNAcentral. Lineage: Eukaryota; Viridiplantae; Streptophyta; Jungermanniopsida; Jungermanniales; Adelanthaceae. RNAcentral also lists the same sequence under 1 other name.
UGGACCUCAGAUCAGGCAAGAUACCCGCUGAGUUAAGCAUAUC